GACAGUGAUGCAGAGCAAAUCCCCAAAAGCAGUCUUAGUUCGGAUUGUAGGCUGCAACUCGCCUACAUGAAGUCGGAAUUGCUAGUAAUCGCGGAUCAGCAUGCCGCGGUGAAUACGUUCCCGGGCCUUGUACACACCGCCCGUCACACCAUGGGAGUCGGUAACACCCGAAGCCUGUAGUCUAACCGCAAGGAGGACGCAGUCGAAGGUGGGUUCGAUAAUUGGGGUGAAGUCGUAACAAGGUAUC
This 247-nucleotide ribosomal RNA is filed under the name uncultured bacterium. RNAcentral's name for it is "partial 16S ribosomal RNA". It matches the Rfam family "Bacterial small subunit ribosomal RNA", at positions 1253 to 1500 of the family's 1533-position model. The record is from RNAcentral.